The sequence is a ribosomal RNA, 434 nucleotides long. It matches the Rfam family "Bacterial small subunit ribosomal RNA", at positions 341 to 792 of the family's 1533-position model.
ACGGGAGGCAGCAGUGGGGAAUAUUGCACAAUGGGGGAAACCCUGAUGUAGCGACGCCGCGUGAACGAUGAAGUAUUUCGGUAUGUAAAGUUCUAUCAGCAGGGAAGAUAGUGACGGUACCUGACUAAGAAGCACCGGCUAAAUACGUGCCAGCAGCCGCGGUAAUACGUAUGGAGCAAGCGUUAUCCGGAUUUACUGGGUGUAAAGGGCGUGUAGGCGGGACAUCAAGUCAGAUGUGAAAGCACGAGGCUCAACUUCGUGUCUGCAUUUGAAACUGACGUUCUUGAGUGUUGGAGAGGCUAACGGAACUCCUAGUGUAGCGGUGAAAUGCGUAGAUAUUAGGAAGAACACCAGUGGCGAAGGCGGUUAGCUGGACAAUAACUGACGCUGAGGCGCGAAAGCGUGGGUAGCAAACAGGAUUAGAUACCCUUGUA